UGCCCCGUAGUGCAAUUGGUAGCACUGCCGAUUCUGGAUCGGCCGGUCUAGGUUCGAAUCCUGGCGGGGCAGCCA
This 75-nucleotide transfer RNA is filed under the name Mycobacteroides chelonae. RNAcentral describes it as "tRNA-Gln". It matches the Rfam family "tRNA". Rfam says of the family: Transfer RNA (tRNA) molecules are approximately 80 nucleotides in length. Lineage: Bacteria; Bacillati; Actinomycetota; Actinomycetes; Mycobacteriales; Mycobacteriaceae. RNAcentral also lists the same sequence under 3 other names. The record is from RNAcentral.